UACAGAGGGUGCAAGCGUUAAUCGGAAUUACUGGGCGUAAAGCGCACGUAGGUGGCUUGAUAAGUUGGGUGUGAAAUCCCCGGGCUUAACCUGGGAAUUGCAUUCAAGACUGUCUUGCUAGAGUGUGGAAGAGGGAAGCGGAAUUCCAGGUGUAGCGGUGAAAUGCGUAGAUAUCUGGAGGAACAUCAGUGGCGAAGGCGGCUUCCUGGUCCAACACUGACACUGAGGUGCGAAAGCGUGGGGAGCAAACAGG
RNAcentral lists this ribosomal RNA (253 nucleotides) under uncultured bacterium. RNAcentral's name for it is "partial 16S ribosomal RNA". It matches the Rfam family "Bacterial small subunit ribosomal RNA", at positions 524 to 776 of the family's 1533-position model. RNAcentral also lists the same sequence under 1 other name. The record is from RNAcentral.